GCCACAUUGGACUCAGCUGUCAGCUGCAGAAGCCCACAAACACUGGGCAUGUUACCUAAGCAGAACCCUGCAAAGUUCCAAGCCAGGCUCAUGACUCAGUGGGGGAAGCAGUGUUUCUCCCUGAAUCAGCCCCAGCCAGGCCACAUCUGAGGCUUAGCCCAGCCAAGAGUCCAGCCACUGCCCAGCUGCCUGUGGACACACGGGCCCUGUGCUGUCUCAGCUGAGAGGUCCCCAUCUACUGACUCACUCGCACCUGGGGCUUCUUGGCUGGUCAUCUGGAAAGGUACAAACUGAAGUUUUCUUUAUCCAAGGCAAUCUUUUAGAAGUCACCCUACGUUUCUUCAAAGUGUCUGGACGCAGUGUGGAGCGUGGUUUAUUUCGUCCAUGUUGCGGCAGCCUGUGUUGGAACUCGCUGAGGUUUGAAGCCUGUCAUCAACAUACAGACUGACAUGAACUUUCAAUGGGAGUCACAGAGGGCUGUACGGGCAAACAGGAGAAAUGACAGGGUACCAAAGACCGCCCUGUCAGCUGAAGGGCACCCUGGAUGCCUGUCUCUGAGCCCUCACACUCCUGUAACCUGUGAAGAGUGGGCAAGCAGAACAGGUGAUGGGUCAUGCAUCUUCCUGACACACUGUGAAGCAGGAAGAAACAGGAACAGUAGCUCUGUGUUACACGUGAGGAGCGAGAAGCACCAACAUGGGUCUUCAUUCUGGAUUUCAUCUUCAAUAUGGAUCCACAGGCUUUAAGAACAUAACGCUUUCUAAAGAGCUCCAGCAAUGGAAACAGCUGUCAGCUCUUCCACCAAAGAUGCUCAAACCAUCACGCUGUCACAUUUAAAUAUAAGAAGCCCCCAAUAUGGAAGAAGACAUCGCUUCUGGUUACCGUCUUGUGUGUGCUAGCUCUCUUUCACUAAUGUCCACUUAAAAAAUAUACAUCAUAACUUGAGCACAGCGGCACAUGCUUUUAAUCCCAGCACCUGGGAGGCAGAGGCAGGCGGGUCCCUGAGAUUUGAGGCCAACCUGGUCUACAGAGUGAGUUCCAGGACAGCAGGGGCUAUAUAGUUAAACCAUCCAUGUUUUGAAGAAACAAGCAAGUGUAUAUUAUUUACUUAUAUUACAUAUUACAUUGUGCAUAUAUAGUAUAUAUGCAUCAUAGUAAUCUGUCCAUCCCAUACAUUGAAUGAAUUGAUAUUUCAAUCUCCCAAAAAUCUGGAGAAGAAUGUGUGUUCCUUGCUGAGCACUUAAGUGUGUUUAUGAACUGAGUAAAUCAUGCCUUGGCAAAUUAUCGGACUAAAGCAUUGAGUUUCACAAGUGCAGACUUAGAAAUUUAGCAACUAUUAACUUUAACUUUUUUCCCUUUAAAGUUGGGGUAGUAUUUCUCACCGAGGACAUCUUUCCACCAAACUUAAUAUUUAUAUCUCCAACUGCUUCAGAAGUCAGACAGCCAGAUAGAGAGCCAAAAGUGUGAAGUGACAAAGAGUUUCUCAGAUUCUCUUACUGAGUCACGUCCAUCCCCCUUCAAAAGCAGCUGAAAGCUGUUUCUCUCCGAGAAUUUUCAAGAUUGCCUGUCUUCCGUAUGACAGCUCUGUGUUCUGAGAGGAGUCCUA
This 1606-nucleotide long non-coding RNA is filed under the name Mus musculus (house mouse). RNAcentral's name for it is "predicted gene 8883". Lineage: Eukaryota; Metazoa; Chordata; Mammalia; Rodentia; Muridae. The record is from RNAcentral.